CCUACGGGAGGCAGCAGUGAGGAAUAUUGGUCAAUGGACGAGAGUCUGAACCAGCCAAGUAGCGUGAAGGAUGACUGCCCUAUGGGUUGUAAACUUCUUUUAUAUGGGAAUAAAACGUUCCACGUGUGGGAUUUUGUAUGUACCAUAUGAAUAAGGAUCGGCUAACUCCGUGCCAGCAGCCGCGGUAAUACGGAGGAUCCGAGCGUUAUCCGGAUUUAUUGGGUUUAAAGGGAGCGUAGGUGGAUUGUUAAGUCAGUUGUGAAAGUUUGCGGCUCAACCGUAAAAUUGCAGUUGAAACUGGCAGUCUUGAGUACAGUAGAGGUGGGCGGAAUUCGUGGUGUAGCGGUGAAAUGCUUAGAUAUCACGAAGAACUCCGAUUGCGAAGGCAGUUCACUGGACUGCUACUGACACUGAGGCUCGAAAGUGUGGGUAUCAAACAGGAUUAGAUACCCCUGUAGUC
Molecule: ribosomal RNA, 460 nt
Filed under: uncultured bacterium
Lineage: Bacteria
Description: partial 16S ribosomal RNA
Rfam family: Bacterial small subunit ribosomal RNA
Source: RNAcentral